CUCCAUGUUUUCAUUGGUUGCUACAGUAAUCUUUUCCGAUUAAUGAAAAAGGGGAACAAUUAUUGCUUGGUUGAACUGCUAUGACAUUUGGGUGAUCCUGAUAUUCUGGGAAAAAUCCUUAUAAACAUCUUUAUUAUUCUUUAACCAUGUUUGUAUGAUAUCUGAUAUUUUUUUAUUCUUGGAUCUCCACUUAAAGAGGUGGGCGCAGACGAAAAUCUACUGUUCAAGGAUCAUACUCAUACUUUUGUAAACAAAGGGGGUAACAUUGGUGACGAUCUCCAAAGGCAUAUCUUCAGCGCCUCAAGGAACUUGCUGAUGCUCUUGCUGCAAGUGUUGCGCCUAUUGACGAUGCUGAUCUCGUUUAUCACACUCUUCAUGGUCUCCCUGAUGAAUUUGAGCCGUUGUUGACUCUAUUGAAGUGUGUGCUGAUCCAUGCUUCAUGUCUAGAGGAAGCUCUAGCUAUCUUUUGUUUUGAGUAUUUAUUCUCUAUGCUUCAUGCCUGCACCAAUUAUCUUGCAAAAAACAGAGCAGAGAAAUACAAUUGUUUUGAGUAUUUAUUCUC
This is a long non-coding RNA of Prunus mume (Japanese apricot), 562 nucleotides long. RefSeq lists it as uncharacterized. The record is from RefSeq and is a predicted model, not a curated record. Lineage: Eukaryota; Viridiplantae; Streptophyta; Magnoliopsida; Rosales; Rosaceae.